Molecule: transfer RNA, 63 nt
Filed under: Colossendeis megalonyx
Lineage: Eukaryota; Metazoa; Arthropoda; Pycnogonida; Pantopoda; Colossendeidae
Also listed under: 1 other name
Description: tRNA-Gly
Source: RNAcentral
AUUUCAUUAGUACAUUAUAGUAUAUCUAACUUCCAAUUAGAAGAAUUUUAUUAAAAUGAAAUA